GGGCGAUUAGCUCAGUGGGAGAGCACUGCCUUCACACGGCAGGGGUCGCUGGUUCGAACCCAGCAUCGCCCACCA
This 75-nucleotide transfer RNA is filed under the name Gammaproteobacteria bacterium. RNAcentral describes it as "tRNA-Val". It matches the Rfam family "tRNA". Rfam says of the family: Transfer RNA (tRNA) molecules are approximately 80 nucleotides in length. RNAcentral also lists the same sequence under 8 other names. The record is from RNAcentral. Lineage: Bacteria; Pseudomonadati; Pseudomonadota; Gammaproteobacteria.